AACGAACGCUGGCGGCAUGCCUAACACAUGCAAGUCGAACGAGACCUUCGGGUCUAGUGGCGCACGGGUGCGUAACGCGUGGGAACCUGCCCUUAGGUUCGGAAUAACUCCCCGAAAGGGGUGCUAAUACCGGAUAAUGUUUUCGGACCAAAGAUUUAUCGCCUUUGGAUGGGCCCGCGUUGGAUUAGCUAGUUGGUAGGGUAAAAGCCUACCAAGGCGACGAUCCAUAGCUGGUCUGAGAGGAUGAUCAGCCACACUGGGACUGAGACACGGCCCAGACUCCUACGGGAGGCAGCAGUGGGGAAUAUUGGACAAUGGGCGAAAGCCUGAUCCAGCAAUGCCGCGUGAGUGAUGAAGGCCUUAGGGUUGUAAAGCUCUUUUACCCGGGAUGAUAAUGACAGUACCGGGAGAAUAAGCUCCGGCUAACUCCGUG
RNAcentral lists this ribosomal RNA (433 nucleotides) under uncultured bacterium. RNAcentral's name for it is "partial 16S ribosomal RNA". It matches the Rfam family "Bacterial small subunit ribosomal RNA", at positions 29 to 507 of the family's 1533-position model. The record is from RNAcentral.